Molecule: ribosomal RNA, 270 nt
Filed under: uncultured Inocybe
Lineage: Eukaryota; Fungi; Basidiomycota; Agaricomycetes; Agaricales; Cortinariaceae
Description: partial large subunit ribosomal RNA
Source: RNAcentral
ACGCUUGAAGUCAGUCGCGUCGGGUUGGAAAUCAACCUUGCUUUUGCUGGGUGUACUUUCCGUCCGACGGGUCAGCAUCAGUUUCGGUCGCUGGACAAAGUUCUUUGGGAACGUGGCAUCUUCGGAUGUGUUAUAGCCCUUGGGACGUAUGCAGUGGUCGGGAUUGAGGAACUCAGCACGCCGCGAGGCUGGGCUUGUCCACACGAACGUGCUUAGGAUGCUGGCAUAAUGGCUUUAAUCGACCCGUCUUGAAACACGGACCAAGGAGUC